GAUGAAGAACGUAGCGAAAUGCGAUAAGUAAUGUGAAUUGCAGAAUUCAGUGAAUCAUCGAAUCUUUGAACGCACAUUGCGCCCGCCAGUAUUCUGGCGGGCAUGCCUGUCUGAGCGUCAUUUCAACCCUCAUGCCCCUAGGGCGUGGUGUUGGGGAUCGGCCAAAGCCCGCGAGGGACGGCUGGCCCCUAAAUCUAGUGGCGGACCCGUCGUGGCCUCCUCUGCGAAGUAGUGAUAUUCCGCAUCGGAGAGCGACGAGCCCCUGCCGUUAAACCCCCAACUUUCCAAGGUUGACCUCAGAUCAGGUAGGAAUACCCGCUGAACUUAAGCAUAUCAAUAAGCGGAGGA
This 348-nucleotide unclassified non-coding RNA is filed under the name soil metagenome. Its description in RNAcentral is "partial contains 5.8S ribosomal RNA, internal transcribed spacer 2, and large subunit ribosomal RNA". The stretch from base 1 to 120 matches the Rfam family "5.8S ribosomal RNA", at positions 35 to 154 of the family's 154-position model. The record is from RNAcentral.